AAUGGGAUAGCUGGGUCAAAUGGUGGUUCCAUUGCAAGUUUUCUGAGGAACCUCUAUACUGCUUUCCAGAAUGGUUGCACCAAUUUGCAGUCCUACCAGCAAU
This 103-nucleotide microRNA precursor is filed under the name Marmota monax (woodchuck). The record is from RNAcentral. Lineage: Eukaryota; Metazoa; Chordata; Mammalia; Rodentia; Sciuridae.